This 693-nucleotide long non-coding RNA is filed under the name Homo sapiens (human). RNAcentral describes it as "HSALNT0161425". Lineage: Eukaryota; Metazoa; Chordata; Mammalia; Primates; Hominidae. The record is from RNAcentral.
GAGACGGAGUCUUCGCUUUGUCACCAGUCUGGAGUGCAGUGGCAUGAUCCCGGCUCACCGCAACCUCUGCCUCCCGGGUUCAAGUGAUUCUCCUGCCUCAGCCUCCUGAGCAGCUGGGACGACAGAGGGCUAUCAUUUGGGACGCAGAGGGAGAAGACAGGACCGUCUCUGGCAAAAGCACACUGCCUUGUUGAUUGUGCAUUGUAGCAGUAAUGUACAAAUGCCAAAGGCAGAAUGAGGCAGAAUGACACUGGACAAUCACUGUGGGAGGAGGAAGAUGAGUUUAAAGUAAAGAUCAAAUUCUCCAGUCUGUCCUGAAAUGAAUCACAUGCUCAAGAACACAUCUCCAACUCUGCUUCUGAGAAAACAGACCUGAGACAAUGAUCUUCACUGGUUAUGUCUGCUUCCAAAAUGUGGUUUCUAUUGCUCUUACAGAAAGAACUAGUCAUUAUUGAGUACCAAAUAAAUGUCAGGUUUAUUGUAUAUGUUAUCUGUUUUAUCCUCCAAGCAAUUCUAUUGGGUGGGUAUUGCUACCUCAUUCUACGAAGAGAAUUCUUACUAAAGAAAGCUUAAAAGCCAGGUGCGGUGGCUCACGCCUGUAAUCCCAGCACUUUGGGAGACCCAGGUGGGCGGAUCAUGAGGUCAGGAGAUCGAGACCAUCCUGGCUAACACGGUGAAACCCUGUCUCUACUA